This is a long non-coding RNA of Heterocephalus glaber (naked mole-rat), 373 nucleotides long. RefSeq lists it as uncharacterized. The record is from RefSeq and is a predicted model, not a curated record. NCBI's taxonomy places the organism in Eukaryota, Metazoa, Chordata, Mammalia, Rodentia, Bathyergidae.
CGCUCGGUGCCUGGCACACUCGAGGGAUCGCAGGGAAGACACCGGGUGCUAUUUUAAGCUCUUACUCAGAGCUGAGGCCAGAGCGAGAACAGGCAGAGUGGGAGCCGAGGAGAGAAUGACUAAGUCCAGCUGUGUGCGGGGCAAGGCCAGAUGCGGGGGCCUCACUGGCGAAUCGGCUGUUCGCAUUCGCACAAGGGACACAGACGAUGAACAAGUGACCCGGGAAUGCCAAGUUGAUGUAAAAUUAUACCAAUGAUGACAGAGGCUCGGGAACAACACGGAAGCCAGCCAGAGGUGAUGCCCACAGUUUGAUGGUCUUGGGACUCAAAGCGUAGAACAGGAAGCCAAGAACCUGAAGGCAGCCUGAGGAGGU